Pelobates cultripes (western spadefoot toad) is the source of this 586-nucleotide non-coding RNA. NCBI's taxonomy places the organism in Eukaryota, Metazoa, Chordata, Amphibia, Anura, Pelobatidae. The record is from the annotation of a GenBank genome assembly.
CCUCACUCUCCCUCAUUAAUACUUUAGGAAUGAUUGCCAGGCUGUAGAUACACAUUUCUCUUCCUGAAGUCACUUAUAUAGUUCCUACAAGUUUAUUUAAAACUUCCUGUGUGGACAUUUUCAGCAGUCAUACUACUCCUGUUUAGUGUGUAUGGGUAUUAUGCUUAAAUGCAGACAUUUUUAAAUUAAUUUGCCACUUUACUGAUUGCAAUGUCUUCAGGGUCCUUACAAAUACCUAUAAGCAAUGUAUUUGGCCAUUUUUAUAUAUCUGUUUGUAUUUUGUCCCAGCUUUUGUCUGUGAGAAAUUGUAUUUUUGCUUUUAUACUAACAUUUUAGACCCUGUAUGAAAUAAUGCAUGAUAAAGAAUACUGUAUACCAUACCGAAAAGUUUUUCAUAAACAAAAUAUUUUCAUAAAGACUGAGUAAGUGGGAAAAAUAAAAAUGUAAAUUAUAGAUGGAAACAAGCAGACACAGAGCCCAUACAUAGCAUCAACUAUAAGGCGAAGUGGAGUUGGAACUUAGAAACCCUGAUGGGGGCAUACAGGUUACUGUAUAGCAACCGUGCUGGAUACAUACCUACUUAUCA